GGGAGACACACGGCGGGUGCUAACGUCCGUCGUGAAGAGGGAAACAACCCAGACCGCCAGCUAAGGUCCCAAAGUCAUGGUUAAGUGGGAAACGAUGUGGGAAGGCACAGACAGCCAGGAUGUUGGCUUAGAAGCAGCCAUCAUUUAAAGAAAGCGUAAUAGCUCACUGGUCGAGUCGGCCUGCGCGGAAGAUGUAACGGGGCUAAACCAUGCACCGAAGCUGCGGCAGCGACACUAUGUGUUGUUGGGUAGGGGAGCG
Molecule: ribosomal RNA, 259 nt
Filed under: Klebsiella pneumoniae subsp. pneumoniae
Lineage: Bacteria; Pseudomonadati; Pseudomonadota; Gammaproteobacteria; Enterobacterales; Enterobacteriaceae
Description: partial 23S ribosomal RNA
Rfam family: Bacterial large subunit ribosomal RNA
Source: RNAcentral